Non-coding RNA from Schistosoma rodhaini, 46 nucleotides. NCBI's taxonomy places the organism in Eukaryota, Metazoa, Platyhelminthes, Trematoda, Strigeidida, Schistosomatidae. The record is from Rfam.
AUCCAGCUGACGAGUCCUAAAGUAGGACGAAGCGCGCUUCCUAUAU